Equus caballus (horse) is the source of this 1811-nucleotide long non-coding RNA. NCBI's taxonomy places the organism in Eukaryota, Metazoa, Chordata, Mammalia, Perissodactyla, Equidae. The record is from Ensembl.
CUUUCUCUCAGGCUCCAAACCUAAGAAGCCAUUUCUACCACACCCUCCUGAGUUGAAUCAAGUGACAAAGGUCCCCCCUAAGGUGGUCUUCUAGAGGAAGCCUUCAGGAACCUUGAGAAACACUGAUUUCAUUCAACCUCCUUCUUUUAGAGGUGAAGAAGCUGAGGCAGCCCAGAAAAGGUUGAAAAAUUUAAUGGUCUUUUGACAGCUGCGAAGCUCCAACAGGCUGUUUUCGGCUACUCCAUCAUCAAGAGAUAACAGUCAGCUUCACAAACCCCAAACUGAAUAUGGCCCUGGAAUCUGAGCUUCUGCUAUUUCUACACAUCUAGUGAAGGAGACAUAUGUCAACAUCCAGAAACUCUUUUCUAAGCGUAAGGAAGUGCGACAAAGAAAGGUAGGGUGUCAUCCUGAUGGAACAGAUGCACGCCUGUUGCUGAACAGUUGCUCAGCCUUGUGAAAGCUCUCUGCCCCAGUCAGAUGUUCAGUUUCUCUGGGAGACAGCCAUCCAGUUCCUGAGAAGGCAACAUCAAUCAUUAUCCAUGGGUCAGAAUUUCCAGCAAGGCUAGAGGAAACAUUUUGAUUAAUGCCUCCAUGGUGACCUGAAGGAUGCCGAGGGCUGGAAGCUGUGGUGAAAAUGAGGUAAAGUGUUGUGGCUGGUGAGAUUUGAAUUGGAAAUCACUGAGUUGAGUUACAGGCAGACCCCAAGAGAAGAUGCUCAGCAACGAAAGGAAAAUGGGAUCCCAGUGCCCCUCUUUUCUUUUCACAUAAGACAUUCCAUGCCCUGUCCAGUAGCAAGACUUAGCCCUAGUCUCCAUGGUCCAAACCCCAAGACUUCCCCAGGACCAGCUCCAGAUGAGUUGCAGCUGCAAGCUUCAUAUCUUCUAAGGACUGGAAUCUCUGCCCUAUUUGCCUGAAGAUACUCAGUAUGCCAACACUUCGGCUUCUGCAUGUCAUGGUUCAAAGGGCCUCCAGGACCACUAAGCUACAACGAGGGAAAUACUUCCUCUUUAAGAAUGAUACCCCAGGCCUUUCCUCUAAAAAUGCCAUGCCAAUGAAAAUUAUGGCCUAUUUAACUGAGGCCCCAAAUCCAUAAGGGCCAUGACUUUUUGUGACUUCUGCUUUCUGCAGAAAUUCAACUCUACAAGUUGUGCCUGUUUUGAUGAGCCUUACUGUGCAAGUAUUCAUUUUGAGAGCUAAGUCCUCUAGAAGGCUCAGCAGCUGGAGCCCUGAAGUUUUGGCUGGGCCAGAAGUUCCACAGUCUGCUGAUCCAUGGUCUACCUGCUGGGGAAACACAAGAAACAUGAACUGCUUAUGCAUCCCCUACCUUUUCUCUACAUAUCCCUAGGAAUAGCGAGGUCAGGAAAAGUCUUGGCUAACAUGGAGAACCCAAAACUUAGACCUUAAAGCAUUAAGCCUCAGUGGGCUCCCUCUUCCUCUAAUGAACGAGAUCUUUUCACACCAGGUGGAACCAAGUGAACCACUGCUUCUUGGCAGUCAAGAGGGAGAAAAACCCAAGAUACUGGAGUUUGUGAAGAAUGAGGCCAGACAGCUUUGGGCAAAGUGGGAAACUCCAUCUUGCUUAGAAGCAUUCUAGAGUAGUAUUUAAGAGUGUGAACUCUAAGGCCAAACUUCCAUGCUUAAAAUCCCAGUUCUGCCACUUAAUAACCAUAUGGCCUUGUACAAGGUAUUUAAAUUCUCUGUGUCCUCGAAGUGAGAAUAAUCACAAAUAAUAAGAUCUACUUUGUAGGGUUAUUAUCAGGAUUAAAUGAAUCAGUACCUGUAAAGCUCUUAGAUCAGUGCUUUGUCCUUAC